Molecule: long non-coding RNA, 4784 nt
Organism: Toxotes jaculatrix (banded archerfish)
Lineage: Eukaryota; Metazoa; Chordata; Actinopteri; Toxotidae
Exons: 3
Source: RefSeq, a predicted model, not a curated record
CAUUACCAUACAGUGUAUGCUCACUACGCACGUGAGGGGAGGAAAGUUUGUGUACCUUUCAUACAAACAUCCCUGUUUCAGAUGGGAUGGUGUUUGACAGAUAUGGAGUCUGGAGAGCAGCUGGCACCCCCUCCCCUGCAGCCUCUUCCUCCUCCUCCUCUUCCUCUUUUCCAUCCCUUGCUACCCACUCUUAAGUGGGACCUGGCUCCAAGACCCUGAGCACUGGGAUCUGCCCUCAGGUCCUCUGUUGCUUUGUUUCUCAGAAUGCUGAAGUGAUUCUGUCUUGUUGGUUGAAGAAUGGAGUUGAUGCAGUUCUGAACACAUCAUCUGUCCAUCCCAUCCAUCCCUGCUAUUCUUGUAUGAAGUGCUUUACAGCUGCUUUAAGCUGUGUAUUAUAGAUGUAUAAGAUGUAUACACUGUAUUGUUCUGCGUAAGUUGUAAUCUUUAUUAUUACAUUUAGUAGUGGAUGUCCCAUAUAUAUCUAGAUUUUUAUAGUAACACAGUUAAAGAAAUGCAUUGAUCUGCAAAUAGAAACUGUUGUCAAAAGUCAAUCAAAGUAUAAUAACAUGUAUAAUAGUUUUUAUGCUUUAUCAGAGGUGAUGUCAUGUUCAAGUCAGUUCUUUGCUAAUUCAUUUUACUCCAGUUAUUCUACAGAUGCUACACCUUUACAUGGGUGGUGGAAUUUUCUUCAAGUUCAUGUCACAGACAAAUUGGCAGAGGAGGAAAGAACAGACGACAAUUGUAUAAAUAAUAUAUAAAUAUUAGUUACGGUGGCUACGUUAGGUUUUCUGCAGACUGUUUGCAACAGCGCCACCCAUGGAAGGAGGACUUACCAGAAACAACAGGGUAUUGGCAAUGGCAGCAUAAGAGGAAAGACAACAAUAUUUCCCUGUAUCCUAUUCAUAUCUACAGUUAUUUAUCUACAGAUACAGCACAGUUAUUGUACAUGUAGUUAUAGGGUUCGUAAUAUAUACAUGGAGAAUUCAUUUUGAACAUUAAUAACUCAGAGAAGUAACUAAAAAACCAUCCCCAGACUCCUGUAACUUGAAAGGAGCAGAUUCACUGAGAACUCUUGUAGAGUUUUUAAUGACUUUUAUUGAGUUUCUUUUCAUUUGGUAAGACUGUACAGUGCAUUUACUCCAUACAUUCCAGAUGGAAAAAUUGAACCUUGUAUUCCACUUUUAUUUACUAAAAGUCUUCCAACAGUUCAGGGAUUAUGAUCUCUUACAGAGAAGGCUUUAAUUGUGGAACACAUACAGGAAGUUUAAAAAAGAACAGCUUAACAAGAAAGUGGAGUGGAUGAGGGUGCAUGAAAAAGGACAAGUGUAGAGAUGCUCAUCGCACCAAAAUAUAAUUUCUACAACAUAAGACAAUGUCCUUUUAUGUGAACACACAAUAAGUGACAGUAAUGCUGUGCUUUUAUUUCACAUCAAAAGCUAUGCUUUUUUCCUAAAGAUUAAAGCUGUGAACAUGUGGCAUGUAAUAAAAUCUGAAAACAGAACAAUUUAUUCAAAACUAAACAUAUUGUUUAAAGUAUGUUUACUUCAAAGUGCCACCAACAGAGAGGAUCCCAGCCACCCAACCUCCUCUCCACCAUGACAACCUGGAAAGAGGACACACUACACAAACACACAAGAGAAAAAUCAACAAGCACACUACUCAUACGUGUAGAACAAGGAAACAAACCCAACAUGAACACAAGGAGGAAAGAGAGAGACAAGGAAGAGAAUUGCACUCCUGUAGAUCCAGAUCUAUAAUAACUACAUAUCAUGAUUUUAUCCUAACAAGUUAAAGACACAUUUGGAGGAGAAUGAAAAUCUUAAGGACAUUUUCUGUGUGUUACAGAGUAUAACUAGAAGUAAUGCUUCAAUAUGUCUUUUUCCUAUUUGUAAACUGAGUUUAAAGUCAAUCAUUUAGAUUAUUUGCACUGACUCAUCUAAAAAAAUAUACAUGUGAAUCAUUUUUUUAGGCUAUUUUGUUUUAUUAGGGCCAAUUUAAGAGUGUGGGAAGAAACCGGAGCACCCGGAGAAAACCACAUAUACGGGGGGGUUAAACUUUACCAUGCCUGUGACAAUGUGAAGAUUCCCAGUUAUCCAGAUCAUGGUAUUUCUAAGUGCCAUUCAAAGGCAUCUGGACUCGGUUCUUGAAGACAUUUCAUGACUCAAGAAGCCUUUGUAUAGCACAUAGAUCCAUAAUGUUGCCCUAUUUUUGUAUGCUGAAGCUUUUGUUGUCAUUUGGGGGAAAUUGUGUUGAUUCAGGGGUUAUUGGGACUCUGCUAACCCAGGCCCAUGGGUGAGGGAUUUACUUUUAAUGUUUUCAGUGGUGGGCCUGAGAACAGCUACUAUUCAGUUAUUCCUGACACAAUGUCAAACAAAUCUUGUAUCCUUUCUUAUUUAACGGUAAGAACAGCUGCAUUUGUUUGUUGCGCUUUGGAAAAAACACAUGCAAUUCAUCUCGGUCAAGAGGGCGCACCUGCAAUAAGCAUGGAUAGCGUACGAAGAUGUGUGAUGGGCCGAGCAUGAAAAACUUCAAGCAGUGUGUCUCUGGUAUUACUUUCUUUGGUUCAUGGGAGCCGUAAAUGUUAUAUUUAGCAUAGCCUGGGGCAGUGGGAGAACUAGGUGCCAUUCUAGUUUGGGUCCUGGACAAACGAGCUGCAGCACAGUUGAAGGCAGCAAGAGAAGCUCCAAUGCUCAGAUAUAGAAACAGACUUCUCUCUGGCAGUAGGUCAUGGACCCAGAAAAUAUAAACUUUACUAUAUUCAAUGGUCUCAGAAAAAACAACUGCAAUCUUUUCUCUCACCGUGGUCAAGGAAGAUGGUUGGUUUAAACCAGCUGCAGUUUCACCUGAGGAUGAACCUGUUGAAGUUUCUCCCAACAAUUUGUGAGCUCUCUUUGUUUGAGAACCACAGAAAAGUUGAGAUUGAGGGAGAACAAGAGAAGGAAGCUUCUCACUGUUGACAUCCCUCCUGUGAAUCACAGUAGGGCUGGAGACACAUGAGACAUCCUGCUCUUGUUCACUUUGAUGAGUUUCAUUACGCAAACAGUCCAAGCCUAUGGAACAGCUGCCAGGUUUCUGAUGCAGCAGCCUUAGAUCUCUGUAGUUUCUGGCCUUUAAGUCUGUCUGGUCUGGUGGUGGUACACACUUAUCUGAAGGCACACCUUCUGCUUGGUUAAUGCUGGAUGAAUUGGUAGGAUUAAGUCCCAGGCCAGACAAGAUGAGGCGACCAAAACCCACGGUUGUCAUGUUGGCUGAUAGAGGGCACUGAAUUAAGAUAAAAGAAUUUCUUCUGUUUUCCAAAUAUCUGUCAGGUUUUCCAAGACUCUGCAAACGUUGAAGAGAAGUUGAUGAAUUCUUCUCUGUAUCCUUCCAGUAACUCGGACUUCACCGGAGCCGGUGAUGAAAAGAGGUGUAAGGAACCGAAAACGGUCUGUUUAUAACUUCGCACAUCAAAGGAAUGUUACGUCAUAGUGACAUAGAAUGGUAAUGGAAUCAUGCCCGUGUGACGUCAGGAGUGUUCCUGGCACCUAAAAAAAAAAAAAAGUAAUUCGCUUCGUCGUUUUAAACAGUGACGUCGUUUCCGGUCGCAUUGGCGCCUGACUGUGUGUCAAAUCCUCUGUGCAUCGGUUUGGAGAAGAAACAUAAAGUUGUUCACAAUGAAUUCUCCAUGUAUAUAUUACAAACCCUAUAACUACAUGUACAAUAACUGUGCUGUAUCUGUAGAUAAAUAACUGUAGAUAUGAAUAGGAUACAGGGAAAUGUUGUUGUCUUUCCUCUUAUGCUGCUAUUGCCAAUACCCUGUUGUUUCUGGUAAGUCCUCCUUCCAUGGGUGGCGCUGUUGCAAACAGUCUGCAGAAAACCUAACGUAGCCACCGUAACUCACCAGGACCUUCCACUGUGUGAAUACUGGCCCAUGAGCUCGGUGUGCAGCUCCGGUCCAGUUGCUGACAUCCACACUGCACCUGCAUCAUCUCCUCUCGGUUUGCACAUUCAACACCCCCACAGCUCACCACACACAUCCCACUGCUCUGAGGGCAAACGCUGCUGAUUUUCACCCAUUUUCACGUUGUUCAUUUCUGUUACUAAGUAAAUUUCAUUGAAGUGAAUCUCGCGUGGACUCUCUCCAUUUCACAGUUCGAGUCAGUUUGUGACACACCACUGUAUGUCAUAACAUUACAUCCUCAGUAUUACAUUGCGUGUAUUAUACUACCCAUCAAGUGUCAUUUCUAUCAUAAAGUAGAUUAUACAUUUUAAACAUACAGUAUGUGAGGAUACAACCUCCCCUCAUGUUCACAGUAUUGUCGUCUGCAUUAUUUUCCAAAUGUGAAAUGGUAAAAGACAAAAAAAGAAAGAAAAAUUAAUUAAUAAAAUAAAAUGUCAAUGUUGCAUAGAAGUUCAGCAGUUCAAUAUCACAUUAAGAAACACACACAUUAAUAUGAACAUUAAGUUCAGACAAAGAAUUUGAUUAUACUUGAUCCCUUAUCUCUCACACACUUAACACCUGUGCCUGCAGAAAUCAUCAAAACUAAAAGUGAAUCCUUUUUGUGAAAGUUUUUCAUCCUUUUGGUUGCUUCCACAUGUAAUAGCAAGAUCUGAAUGAAUAAAAUUGUAUUUUCAUUGUAUCAUCAUUCAUCUUGUGUAUUGUGCUGUAAGGAGUGGGAGGUAAGAUUUACCUGUGUCCAUGGUAUCACUGUUAGCAACACAGAAUAAAAGCACUCUAUUCAGGGGUCAGAACUGUCAAAAUGUUAUGGCAAUUUAAGCCAGACCAAUCAAUAAGAAAAUGCAGC